RNAcentral lists this transfer RNA (72 nucleotides) under Camelus bactrianus (Bactrian camel). It matches the Rfam family "tRNA". From Rfam's summary of the family: Transfer RNA (tRNA) molecules are approximately 80 nucleotides in length. Their secondary structure includes four short double-helical elements and three loops (D, anti-codon, and T loops). The record is from Rfam by way of RNAcentral. RNAcentral also lists the same sequence under 2 other names. Lineage: Eukaryota; Metazoa; Chordata; Mammalia; Artiodactyla; Camelidae.
GAGGGUAUAGCUCAGUGGCAGAACAUGUGCUUAGCAUGCGUGAGAACCUGGGUUCAAUCCCCAGCACCUCCA